GCCGGUGUAGCUCAGUUGGCAGAGCAGCUCUUUUGUAAAGAGCGGGCCGGGGGUUCGACUCCCUCCACCGGCU
This 73-nucleotide transfer RNA is filed under the name Candidatus Omnitrophota bacterium. Its description in RNAcentral is "Candidatus Omnitrophica bacterium (groundwater metagenome) tRNA-Thr". It matches the Rfam family "tRNA". From Rfam's summary of the family: Transfer RNA (tRNA) molecules are approximately 80 nucleotides in length. Lineage: Bacteria; Pseudomonadati; Candidatus Omnitrophota. The record is from RNAcentral.